UGGGGAAUAUUGGGCAAUGGGCGAAAGCCUGACCCAGCAACGCCGCGUGAAGGAAGAAGGUCUUCGGAUUGUUAAACUUCUUUUAUGAGGGACGAAGGACGUGACGGUACCUCAUGAAUAAGCCACGGCUAACUACGUGCC
Molecule: ribosomal RNA, 141 nt
Filed under: uncultured bacterium
Lineage: Bacteria
Description: partial 16S ribosomal RNA
Rfam family: Bacterial small subunit ribosomal RNA
Source: RNAcentral